RNAcentral lists this ribosomal RNA (87 nucleotides) under Caerostris extrusa. Lineage: Eukaryota; Metazoa; Arthropoda; Arachnida; Araneae; Araneidae. The record is from RNAcentral.
CUGGUCUCGUUAGAUCACCGAAGUCAAGCAUCAUUGGGCGCGGUCAGUACUUGGGUGGGUGACCACCUGGGAACACCGCGUGCCGUU